Molecule: ribosomal RNA, 469 nt
Filed under: uncultured bacterium
Lineage: Bacteria
Description: partial 16S ribosomal RNA
Rfam family: Bacterial small subunit ribosomal RNA
Source: RNAcentral
GACGAACGCUGGCGGCGUGCUUAACACAUGCAAGUCGAACGGAAAGGCCCUGCUUGCCGGGUGCUCGAGUGGCGAACGGGUGAGUAACACGUGGGUGAUCUGCCCCUUACUUUGGGAUAAGCCUGGGAAACUGGGUCUAAUACUGGAUAGGACCAUGCUGUAGGUGGUGUGGUGGAAAGAUUAGUUUCGGUAAGGGAUGAGCUCGCGGCCUAUCAGCUUGUUGGUGGGGUAAUGGCCUACCAAGGCGUCGACGGGUAGCCGGCCUGAGAGGGUGGACGGCCACAUUGGGACUGAGAUACGGCCCAGACUCCUACGGGAGGCAGCAGUGGGGAAUAUUGCACAAUGGGCGCAAGCCUGAUGCAGCGACGCCGCGGGGGGGGUGACGGCCUUCGGGUUGUAAACUCCUUUCAGCCAUGACGAAGCCCUUGUGGUGACGGUAGUGGUAGAAGAAGCACCGGCUAACUACGUG